RNAcentral lists this transfer RNA (31 nucleotides) under Sesleria insularis. RNAcentral's name for it is "partial tRNA-Thr". The record is from RNAcentral. Lineage: Eukaryota; Viridiplantae; Streptophyta; Magnoliopsida; Poales; Poaceae.
GAUGCGUCUUAACCCUCUGAGCUAAGUGGGC